CCGAUGGCGACCGGCGCACGGGUGAGUAACACGUAUCCAACCUGCCGAUAACUCGGGGAUAGCCUUUCGAAAGAAAGAUUAAUACCCGAUGGCAUAAUAGAAUCGCAUGGUUUGAUUAUUAAAGAAUUUCGGUUAUCGAUGGGGAUGCGUUCCAUUAGGCAGUUGGUGGGGUAACGGCCCACCAAACCUUCGAUGGAUAGGGGUUCUGAGAGGAAGGUCCCCCACAUUGGAACUGAGACACGGUCCAA
Molecule: ribosomal RNA, 248 nt
Filed under: uncultured bacterium
Lineage: Bacteria
Description: partial 16S ribosomal RNA
Rfam family: Bacterial small subunit ribosomal RNA
Source: RNAcentral